CGCUGUCGACCAACGGAACGUUUUGCAGUAAUACCAGCAGCGCAGCGAUACUAAGGCACCCGCCUGGAAACAGCAGUUAUUGGGACACUGUUAAGGUGACAGCAAAUAUAUUCGGAGCAAAGUAUUUCGUCAACUUUACGGAGGAGGACAUGAUGAAAAUGAACGAGACCUUCUCGCAUUGUCAUGUGAACAAAUCAAGUGCAUAAGCAAGAAACCAUGAGGAGGUCACGAAAACAUUCCAUAACGCACAACCUCCUUGGCAUUGCGUAGCAACAAUUGAUGAAACAUGUCCAGAGGUAUGGAGGGUACUGAAAAUAAAGAUAUCGACGAAGUAUUAGUGUAUGUUAUAUAAUAUUCUGAGGUAGGCUAUGCACUUGAGCAACUUCUAUGUUGAAAAUGAAUAAAUGUUUUUGUGAAACAU
Rhipicephalus microplus (southern cattle tick) is the source of this 421-nucleotide long non-coding RNA. Lineage: Eukaryota; Metazoa; Arthropoda; Arachnida; Ixodida; Ixodidae. The record is from RefSeq and is a predicted model, not a curated record.